Molecule: long non-coding RNA, 3045 nt
Filed under: Apis mellifera (honey bee)
Lineage: Eukaryota; Metazoa; Arthropoda; Insecta; Hymenoptera; Apidae
Description: uncharacterized LOC113218549
Source: RNAcentral
ACGUGAUAUCGCAAAAUUUCCCUAGCUGAAGAUACAUCCAAAUAUCGGAAAGUAUUAAAUUUUGGCAUAAAUAGAGGGACAAAAACUUUUCGUUAAAAAUUGAAAAUAACCGAAAUAUCCGGCUAUCGAUACCCUUUCAUUUUUUUCUUUCUUCUUUCUUUUUUCUAGCAACGAAAUACACACGUACGGGAAGAAGAUAUAUGUGUAUAUAUAUACCCCUCGCGGGGUAUAUAUAUUUCGAAGCGGGAUGCUGUAGAUAAUCCGCACCGUCGGCAGAAUCAGGGCAGAGAAAUUACCGGCCGGCCGCGAUUUCCCACGCAGCUCGCCUUCGCGAGAACGAUCGAAUCCACGGAGUUUCGCUCCUCGACCGGAGUGCGUCUAAGGCCUGCUGUAAGUCGGUUUAUCAUUGGUCGUCGAGAUGCGGAGAGUAGAUGGCGCCGAUUAAAGCGCGGGAAGCGGAGCUAUAAAGGGGCCAGGAAAUGAUGCAACGUUCGUGGAAUCGAAUAGAAAGUCCAGUAGCUGCGAUACGAUGAUCCGAAGACGUCGAUGAGAAAUUAACAUUACUGCAACGUGACGCAUCGUGCAUACCUAAUAAACAGAUUCGUGUAAUGAAAAUCUUUAUGAGAGUUGUGAAGUAAUCAGUCAACCGUGCAAUCUCUUCUGUAUCUCUUCUGUAUCCCUUCGCCUCCGUACGCCUCUCGUCUCCUCUCUAUUUUCGUUCCCAUCCUUUAUCUCGUACCUACUCGUUCUUCUAUCUCCAUCUUCUUUCUCUUCCCUCUCUUUUCCUUUCUUUCCGACGAAAAGUAAAAAGUCGCAAUUUCUUUCCCAUUCAUCGAUCUUACCUUCGACUUACACCAUCGAAAGAUGUAUAAAUUACGUUCAAAUUUGAUGCAAUCUUUUCUAAUCGUAUUAAAAUCUCUCUCUCUCUCUCUUUCUCUCUUUAAAUAGCUUCUCUCUAAAUGGCUAAAAACAUCCACGUUUUUAAAGAUCCAUUUUCGAAAAUAUCGUAAAUACAAUCCUUCAGCUUUCGAUAAUACGCAUUAUCGGUGUUAAUUAUCGCUCCGUCGCGCGCGCAUUCAGCGUAUUCCUCCACGAUUUAUAUUCGCGCCACGCGCGUCAAUUCAAAGCGGAACUCUGGGAAAAUUGAAAAUCUCUUCUGUUUUUAUCCCCGCCCCCGAUCAAUUAUCGCGCCCGAACAUCUUUUCAUCCGGCCGAUCGAACGACUCGCACCGAUAUUUCGCGAAUUUUUAUUUUUACCUCUCUUCGCCUAUAAAGCGCCCAACUCCCUCUCCGUAUUAUAUCCGAAUCCGAAUUUCUCCAAUUUAACAACCGUUUGCUUUAUCGCUUCUGUCUACAUCCAACUAUUUUUCUUAUUUUAUACCGUCGAAUAAUUAAUCGAGAUACAUUAACGCUCGAGUUCGACGUCUCACUUAUUCCACUUACGGUCAGAAAAAUACAUAUAGAGCUUCUUCAAAAUUCAAACAUUCGAUCAAUUGAUACAUCAUUUAAUUCAAUUCAUUCCCGAUUAUGGCAGAGAAAUACCUCCUCUCUCCUUCUCCCUUUCCCUUUCCUUGAAUAAAAAGAUCCGGGAAGAAAAGCGGAGGCAUCGUUUCGGAAGGAAGAGGAGGGAGCCGUAAAUAAAGUAGCCGCGGUUAAUUCAACGUGCGAUAAGUCUCCUCUCCCCCCGCCAGAUAUAGAUACGGGGACAAUUUACGGUUUUGAAUUACGCCUCGGCCUUACGCCUCGGACGCGAGAGAGGAGAGAGGGGGUCCUAAGAGGAGGCCGACACCCACGUAUAUAAAUAGUGGACGGGAGCGUGUGGUCCUUUCGAGCGAGCAGAAACCGUUGACCUAUGACACGCACGCUAUAAACAAUCCUCUGAAGCAGUAAAUGGAUAUGUGCUGUUAUACGGCGUCGAGUUGAAAACUGAGCUCUGCCUCCUACCUCGACCGGGCCACGAUCCCCCCUCCUCUCUCUCUCUCUGUCUCCCUCCCUCUCUCCCUCCGUCUCUCGAACCGGGUGGCUAGGGUCGGUCCCUUGCGAAACGGUUAUUGGAUGCACGCCAUGCUCCCGUGCCAACCCCGGGGCUGUUGGUAAAUAUUUUUUGUCCUGACGAAUAGAUUUUCUGCGACAGCACGCGGGUAGACGCGACCGACCGCGAGCCUACACACGGAAAUUCAUUCCGGCCACUCGUCGAGCCUCCUCCUGCGGGACCUCUGAUAAAUCUUCCUCCUCCUCCUCCUCUCUUCAAUCGCCUCCCCCGCGACGCUUAAUUAACUCUGAUCGCCGCUCGUUUCGCCCCGCUUGUUUCUUUUUUUUCUUCUUCAUUGGGAAUGGAGAGGGGAGGGGGUGGAUCGUCGAAGGAAUUUUUUGGAACGGAGCGGGUUAGCUAGGUGUACGUAGGUGUGUAUAUGUAUGUGUGUGUAUAUCGGUUUUUCCCGAUUUUUCUUUUCAAUUCUUUCGUCGAAUUAUCUCGUUGAAAAUGAAAUUCGCGAAGAAUUAAAUCGUGUUACGAUGAUAGAAUGGAACGUUAAAUUGGUUGAUGUUCUUUUUUGGUUCUUGUACUUCGCGAAGGAAAUUUUUUUAAAGGGAUACAAGUUUGGGAAAUUGAAUUGUGCGUGAAAUGGAGAUUAUCGGAUGUAAUUGUUUGAAAUUUAAUAGUGUGUAAUUAAUAAUUUAGUUAGGAAAUGUGUUUAAUAUUAGAAAAAGGAUUCUUUCAUCGAGAAAAUUGUGAAAUCGUAUUAAAAUCUGUGAACCGUUGUGUGAAAAAGUAAUAAUGGAUUAGAUUUAACAAACGCGUGCUUACAUUUAUUUAUAAUCAUUGUAAUCCCCUUACUUUUACAACGUACUUUUUACACUCGAAGGAGAAAAUUUUUUUAAGAAAAUUGUUAGUUAGUAUCUAAUCUACAAGAAGUACAGGUCGUAAACUGUAAAGUAAUAGCAGUCCAGAUUUAAUAUGUACUUAUACUUACUUAUUUGAUGUGAUAUAUUAAAAAAUAAAGGAUUAGAUGUUAAUGAUAAAUUUCCACAUUGUAUCCGAAUCAC